GAUGAACGCUGGCGGCGUGCCUAAUACAUGCAAGUCGAGCGAACGGACGAGAAGCUUGCUUCUCUGAUGUUAGCGGCGGACGGGUGAGUAACACGUGGAUAACCUACCUAUAAGACUGGGAUAACUUCGGGAAACCGGAGCUAAUACCGGAUAAUAUUUUUAACCGCAUGGUUCAAACGUGAAAGACGCUCUUGCUUCCCCUAAUAGAUGUCUCCGCGUUGCAUUAGCUAGUUGGUAAGGUAACGGCUAACCAAGGCAUCGAUGCAUAGCCGACCUGAGAGGGGGAUCGGCCACACGGGAACUGAGACACGGUCCAGACUCCUACGGGAGGCAGCAGUAGGGAAUCUUGCGAAAUGGGCGAAAGCCUGACGGAGCAACGCCGCGGGAGUGAUGAAGGUCUUCGGAUCGUAAAACUCUGUUAUUAGGGAAGAACAUAUGUGGAAGUAACUGUGCACAUCUUGACGGUACCUAAUCAGAAAGCCACGGCUAGCUACGUG
This 497-nucleotide ribosomal RNA is filed under the name uncultured bacterium. RNAcentral describes it as "partial 16S ribosomal RNA". It matches the Rfam family "Bacterial small subunit ribosomal RNA", at positions 28 to 507 of the family's 1533-position model. The record is from RNAcentral.